CCUACGGGCGGCAGCAGUGGGGAAUAUUGGACAAUGGGGGGAACCCUGAUCCAGCCAUGCCGCGUGUGUGAAGAAGGCCCUCGGGUUGUAAAGCACUUUCAGUGAGGAAGAACGCCUGGUGGUUAAUACCCAUCAGGAAAGACAUCACUCACAGAAGAAGCACCGGCUAACUCCGUGCCAGCAGCCGCGGUAAUACGGAGGGUGCGAGCGUUAAUCGGAAUUACUGGGCGUAAAGCGCGCGUAGGUGGCUUGAUAAGCCGGUUGUGAAAGCCCCGGGCUCAACCUGGGAACGGCAUCCGGAACUGUCAAGCUAGAGUGCACGAGAGGAAGGUAGAAUUCCCGGUGUAGCGGUGAAAUGCGUAGCGAUCGGGAGGAAUACCAGUGGCGAAGGCGGCCUUCUGGACUGACACUGACACUGAGGUGCGAAAGCGUGGGUAGCAAACAGGAUUAGAUACCCGUGUAGUC
Molecule: ribosomal RNA, 465 nt
Filed under: Vreelandella stevensii
Lineage: Bacteria; Pseudomonadati; Pseudomonadota; Gammaproteobacteria; Oceanospirillales; Halomonadaceae
Description: partial 16S ribosomal RNA
Rfam family: Bacterial small subunit ribosomal RNA
Source: RNAcentral